AUGAUGUCUGUUAGAACUAUGUCGGUAUUUCCCCAAAGAGAAAAGGAUGAUGCAGCACAUCGACGGAAGCUCCCCAACCCUGAAUCAAAGAGUCGACAUUCAGCUAGUAGGUUACAUGAUAUUUUCAAGGGUCUCCCACAGAGAAGGAAAGACCUCAUUUGCACAAAAAUGGGUAAUCUACUUAAUAUUAGCAAAUUUUCAGCUCCAGAGGGUCUCCUAGAAUGGAUCGUUGACCGGAUUGACCCAAAGCUAGAAAAAGGCAAUGAUCUAGAUGAUGAGACCUUCUUCAGGACAUUCUUUCUAGUAGCAUUGGCUACUAAUUUUACACCCGCAACUGGAAAUAUGGUUCCUUUGGAAUAUUUAGGCAGCCUUGAAGUUGCUUCCGAGGUUUUAUACAUGGACCAUCUUGACUUUCCUGAAUCAUCUUUGUCAACGCAUCGCAUAAAUUACUCACUUCCCAGAUCAUCCCAUGUAACCGAUGCCGACUUCAAAUUUGUCAUGCUCGCUGAUAAAAGUAGACUGAGCCUCAACCCAUAUAUUUAUGGCGCACGACCGUUUCGUGCACCCGAGGCAACCCCAUAUGCCGUUGUAGUGCCAAUCUACCAGCAGCAAUCUACUCAACAGCCAUAUGUUCAACAAAAAGAUAAUGAUUCUACCAACCAUCCAGCAGAGCUCCUGCGACGAACCAAUCCACCGGAGAGGAAGAUACGAGGCGGAGGAUUCUUGAUACGUAUGAAGAUGCAAGUUUCAGCUUUCUACCUCCCGGUCAAACUUGGACCCAAGUAUGGUCCGAACCUGCUUCGUCGCCACAUCAGCCACAAUCUGCCGAUGCCGCUACUGCAGUUGGACAAUCCUUAG
This 858-nucleotide ribosomal RNA is filed under the name Triticum aestivum (bread wheat). RNAcentral describes it as "partial small subunit ribosomal RNA". The record is from RNAcentral. Lineage: Eukaryota; Viridiplantae; Streptophyta; Magnoliopsida; Poales; Poaceae.